GGUCCGAGUUGUAAUUUGUAGAGGAUGCUUUUGGUGAGGUGCCUUCCGAGUUCCCUGGAACGGGACGCCGGAGAGGGUGAGAGCCCCGUACGGUUGGACGCCAAACCUCUGUAUAGCUCCUUCGACGAGUCGAGUAGUUUGGGAAUGCUGCUCUAAAUGGGAGGUAAAUUUCUUCUAAAGCUAAAUACCGGCAGAGAGACCGAUAGGCGCACAAGUAAGAGUGAUCGAAAGAUGAAAAGCACUUUGAAAAGAGGGUUAAAUAGCACGUGAAAAUUGUUGAAAGGGAAGCGUUUGCGACCAGACUUUUUCCAGGCGGAUCAUCCCGGCGUUCUCGGCCGGUGCACUCCGCCUGGUUGAAGGCCAGCAUCGGUUUCCUUAGGGGGAUAAAGGCCUGGGGAACGUAGCUCCUUCGGGAGUGUUAUAGCCCCUGGCGUAAUACCCCUCGGGGGACCGAGGAACGCGCUCUGCAAGGAUGCUGGCGUAAUGGUCGUCAACGACCCGUCUUGAAACACGGACCAAGGAGUCGAACAUUUGUGCGAGUGUUUGGGUGUCAAACCCUCACGCGUAAUGAAAGUGAACGGAGGUGAGAGCCCUUACGGGUGCAUCAUCGACCGAUCCUGAUGUCUUCGGAUGGAUUUGAGUAAGAGCAUAACUGUUCGGACCCGAAAGAUGGUGAACUAUGCGUGGAUAGGGUGAAGCCAGAGGAAACUCUGGUGGAGGCUCGCAGCGGUUCUGACGUGCAAAUCGAUCGUCAAAUCUGCGCAUGGGGGCGAAAGACUUAUCGAACCAUCUAGUAGCUGGNUACCGCCGAAGUUUCCCUCAGGAUAGCAGUGUUGUCUUCAGUUUUAUGAGGNAAAGCGAAUGAUUAGGGACUCGGGGGCGCUAUAUUGCCUUCAUCCAUUCUCAAACUUUAAAUAUGUAA
This 922-nucleotide ribosomal RNA is filed under the name Daldinia eschscholtzii. RNAcentral's name for it is "partial large subunit ribosomal RNA". It matches the Rfam family "Eukaryotic large subunit ribosomal RNA", at positions 135 to 1076 of the family's 3401-position model. Lineage: Eukaryota; Fungi; Ascomycota; Sordariomycetes; Xylariales; Hypoxylaceae. The record is from RNAcentral.